AUUGAACGCUGGCGGCAUGCCUUACACGUGCAAGUCGAACGGCAGCACGGGAGCAAUCCUGGUGGCGAGUGGCGAACGGGUGAGUAAUAUAUCGGAACGUGCCCAGUCGUGGGGAUAACGUAGCGAAAGCUACGCUAAUACCGCAUACGAUCUAUGGAUGAAAGCGGGGGAUCGCAAGACCUCGCGCGAUUGGAGCGGCCGAUAUCAGAUUAGGUAGUUGGUGAGGUAAAGGCUCACCAAGCCGACGAUCUGUAGCUGGUCUGAGAGGACGACCAGCCACACUGGGACUGAGACACGGCCCAGACUCCUACGGGAGGCAGCAGUGGGGAAUUUUGGACAAUGGGCGCAAGCCUGAUCCAGCAAUGCCGCGUGCAGGAUG
Molecule: ribosomal RNA, 379 nt
Filed under: uncultured bacterium
Lineage: Bacteria
Description: bacterial SSU rRNA
Rfam family: Bacterial small subunit ribosomal RNA
Source: RNAcentral